Molecule: long non-coding RNA, 690 nt
Filed under: Homo sapiens (human)
Lineage: Eukaryota; Metazoa; Chordata; Mammalia; Primates; Hominidae
Description: non-protein coding lnc-SSTR4-17:1
Source: RNAcentral
UGUUUUGAAGGAGAUUGUGAGCCUCAAUAGUCUCCAAACACAAGGAUCCAGAUAAUUGUUUUCCCCUUGGAGUACAUUGAGGGACAACGAUUUUAGAGAACAUGCCUUGGGUGGAAAAAUAUGCAUGUAUUUCCAAACCACUGUGCAAAUGUAUUUUUAAGGAUGGGAGUUCCGUUUUACUUUGAUUUUCACAUGUUUACUUUGUCGUGGUCAUUGUUACAUUUAAAGCUGAGUUCCCACAAAAAUAUUGGUGGGCUCUGGCAGUUGCAUUGGCUCCGUGGGUCAUAGAGUCGGCUUUGAUACCAUCGCCUCACACAUUUAGUUAGGUAAACAUGAUUCGCAGAGGGCUGAACGCAUCUCCGGAACCAGACAUUUGGCAUUAAAAACCAAAGAUCAUGUAAUUACUAAAGUGAUCGGAUCAGGCUCUGAUUUCAUUUUUAAGUGCUUGCUUAUUGUUUCUUAAUAGUUUCAUUGGAUAUUUCAUAAACAUUUACUCUUAAUAGGUUGGUCUAUAUCCGGAGAGCACUUGUGGGCAGUACUGUUCAGUGAACCUCUGCUUCUCUCCUGCACAGUGUCUUAAGUUGGCCCCAGGAGCAGUGUCUGAAAUAGAGAUAGACAGUCAAGUGCUGGGAUUAGAGAUAUGAACCACUGCACCUGGCCUUCUUUCAGCACUUUGAAUGUGUCAUUACA